GAGAUAUUAAUCAGGUGGAGCAUCCAGAACUAUGCUAUACAGAUUGCUGUACUCUUUUUUCUUCCUUCCAUCAGUUUUCUACCUCACUGGGUUUUUCUCCAAGCAAGGUUUUAAUGAGGCAAUCAAUCUAGGGACAUGUGGUCUCCAAGGGGGAGUGUUGCAAAGAAGAAUAAGUAAAGAAGAAUAGGUGAAGCCCACAUAGCCAACUAACACCCACUAAACCUAACCACACACCCACCAAACCAAACCACUACCCAAUUGAUUGAAGAAUAUUAAUGAUGUUGUUGAUUGAAGAAUAUUAAUGAUGUUGUUGAUUGAAGAAUAUUAAUGAUGUUGUCUACCAAUUAUAUUGUGAGGUGAACAACCAAUGUCUUUGGCCUAUAAAUAGAUACAUCCA
This 397-nucleotide long non-coding RNA is filed under the name Prunus persica (peach). RNAcentral's name for it is "long non-coding RNA (PPER_LNC005168)". The record is from RNAcentral. Lineage: Eukaryota; Viridiplantae; Streptophyta; Magnoliopsida; Rosales; Rosaceae.